Molecule: ribosomal RNA, 274 nt
Filed under: uncultured bacterium
Lineage: Bacteria
Description: partial 16S ribosomal RNA
Rfam family: Bacterial small subunit ribosomal RNA
Source: RNAcentral
CUACGUAGGUCCCGAACGUUGCGCGAAAUUACUGGGCGUAAAGGGUCCGUAGGCGGUCUGGUAAGUGGAAGGUGAAAGCCUGGGGCUCAACUCCAGAAUUGCCUUCCAAACUGCCGGACUUGAGGCAGGGAGAGGUCGGCGGAAUUCCCGGUGUAGUGGUGAAAUGCGUAGAUAUCGGGAGGAACACCAGUGGCGAAGGCGGCCGACUGGAACUGUCCUGACGCUGAGGGACGAAAGCCAGGGGAGCGAACCGGAUUAGAAACCCUAGUAGUCC